GGAGAGGUGUCCGAGCGGCCGAAGGAGCACGACUGGAAAUCGUGUGUACGUUGACGCGUACCGAGAGUUCAAAUCUCUCCCUCUCCGCCA
This 90-nucleotide transfer RNA is filed under the name Deltaproteobacteria bacterium. RNAcentral's name for it is "tRNA-Ser". It matches the Rfam family "tRNA". Rfam says of the family: Transfer RNA (tRNA) molecules are approximately 80 nucleotides in length. The record is from RNAcentral. RNAcentral also lists the same sequence under 1 other name. Lineage: Bacteria; Pseudomonadati; Myxococcota; Myxococcia.